Molecule: ribosomal RNA, 450 nt
Filed under: uncultured bacterium
Lineage: Bacteria
Description: bacterial SSU rRNA
Rfam family: Bacterial small subunit ribosomal RNA
Source: RNAcentral
UCCAGACUCCUACGGGAGGCAGCAGUGGGGGAUAUUGGACAAUGGGGGAAACCCUGAUCCAGCGACGCCGCGUGAGUGAAGAAGUAUUUCGGUAUGUAAAGCUCUCUCAGCAGGGAAGAAAGAAAUGACGGUACCUGACCAAGAAGCCCCGGCUAACUACGUGCCAGCAGCCGCGGUAAUACGUAGGGGGCAAGCGUUAUCCGGAUUUACUGGGUGUAAAGGGAGCGUAGACGGUUAUGUAAGUCUGGAGUGAAAGCCCGGGGCCCAACCCCGGGACUGCUUUGGAAACUGUGUAACUGGAGUACAGGAGGGGCAGGCGGAAUUCCUGGUGUAGCGGUGAAAUGCGUAGAUAUCAGGAGGAACACCGGCGGCGAAGGCGGCCUGCUGGACUGAAACUGACGUUGAGGCUCGAAAGCGUGGGGAGCAAACAGGAUUAGAUACCCUAGUACC